Gossypium arboreum is the source of this 249-nucleotide long non-coding RNA. RefSeq lists it as uncharacterized. Lineage: Eukaryota; Viridiplantae; Streptophyta; Magnoliopsida; Malvales; Malvaceae. The record is from RefSeq and is a predicted model, not a curated record. The transcript has 2 exons.
CUCGGAACAGUUACUUCCUCAACGUCGACUCCUUCAUGAAGUUGCUUAAAAGUCAAAUAAAUAUCUUCUGCUGAUCUUGCUUCAAGAACUGGCAGCACUGCAUUAGUCUUCGCCUUCAUAUCUUCCUGUAACAACACACAUUCAGAAUAGGCAAUAUGAGAUCCCUCAGGGAACCAUAUUACCAUGUUGUCCAAGCUCACUAGUGGAUAAUGAAAAGGGCGCAUGUGAAAGCCACAGUAUUUAAGCAUA